Theobroma umbraticum is the source of this 1153-nucleotide long non-coding RNA. RefSeq lists it as uncharacterized. NCBI's taxonomy places the organism in Eukaryota, Viridiplantae, Streptophyta, Magnoliopsida, Malvales, Malvaceae. The record is from RefSeq and is a predicted model, not a curated record.
UAAUCUCUCACUUAAAACUAAUUAUUUAACGCUAAAUCUCAUCCGGUCUUUUUUGUUGUAACAGGAAGGGUAUUUCAGAGUCUGCACUACCCUACAGACGCACCCCUCCCACCUGGCUCAAAAUCUCCUCUCAAGACGUGGACGAAAACAUCUGCAAAUUUGCCAAGAAAGGCUUGACUCCAUCACAAUUGGUGUCAUCCUUCCUGACUCUCACGGAUUGGCGCCGGAGAUUGCUGAAGAUCUUUACCAUUUGAUAAAGAAGGCGGUGGCGAUUCGGAUGCAUUCGGAGAGGAAUAGGAAGGAUAAAGAUUCCAAGUUCAGGUUGAUUCUUGUGAAGAGCAGAAUUCACCGGCUCGCUCGUUAUUACAAGAAGACCAAGAAGCUCCCUCCUGUUUGGAAAUAAUUAGUUCUUUGCAUCUUUGUCUGUCAAUUGAAGCUUUACCAUUUUCCUUUCUCCAACAUGAUUGUUCACUAUUUUAUCCUCUCUCUGCAGCAAGUCAACCACGGCAAGCUAUCGCCUCUAUCCAUCAUACAGGAACGGAAGGUUUUGGGUUUUUUAUAAGUGGGUGUGCUGCACAUCCCUAUAAGUCGGUUUACGGGAGAGAGAGUAAUGACUCCGUGACAAAAUGGUAUCAGAGCAGACCGAUCCUCGUUCUGACCAUGCCAAGCGCCUGGCCCAGUGGGACCCAACGGGAUAGACAGGGUGAUCGACGGCAACAGGGGCGUUGCCGAUUUGGGUGGGUGAGAGUAUCACAAGAAAAGUACAUUUAUCCCACAUCAGACAAGAACGGGAGGUCCUGAGCUCUUUAUAAGCGGGUGUGCUGCACACCCUUAUAAGCCGGUUUAUGAGGGAGAGAGUAAUGACCUCGUGACAAAGCGCUCUGGUUGCUUAGAGAAAGUGUUGGAACUCUGGACUGGAAGCCUGUUAUGUCCCGAUUUCACGAGUAAGACCUUUCCAGUGAGAAUCUGUCUAGUAUUGUGGGAUGUUUAUAGUGAAACCGAAACAAUGAUGAAGUAGUUUGUGCUAAACAUUUUUGCGAUAGUCAAGGAGCAUUAUUGUCUUACAUUUAUCUUUUCCAAUUCGUACCUCAAUCCUCACGUAUGUCUUAGUGUGUCAUCAUGUGCUGAGAAUUGUUAUUUUGCUUGAAUUGUG